CUGCCGUGAUGGCAAGAUUUUUCGUCAACAGCACUGCCCUGUGCGUGUGGUGACAGCGUUGGGCUGAGCGG
This is a small nucleolar RNA of Cuculus canorus (common cuckoo), 71 nucleotides long. It matches the Rfam family "Small nucleolar RNA SNORD56". From Rfam's summary of the family: U56 belongs to the C/D class of snoRNA which contain the C (UGAUGA) and D (CUGA) box motifs. Most of the members of the box C/D family function in directing site-specific 2'-O-methylation of substrate RNAs. The record is from Rfam. NCBI's taxonomy places the organism in Eukaryota, Metazoa, Chordata, Aves, Cuculiformes, Cuculidae.